CAAGACCCAAGCUUGUGUUAGCAAUGGAGACUUUAACUAGCUUGUCCGCCAAGGUCUUUACAAAAAACAAUAAAAAAACUCUAUCACCAUCAAGAUCAGCUCUGCUUGGUCGAUCUGAUUUUUGUUUUUCUCCGUCUCCAAAUCUAAAGAGACCACAUUUUUAAUCCUUUGAUUUUGUUUCGACGCAGAGAUGCUCCAUUGUUGAUCGUGAAAUCUCACCCUGCACCUGAUGCAGAGGUCUUGAAUGGCUUCGACACUGCAGUAUCCCGGAACCAAAAAAUAACACCGGCAAAAACUGUUCAUGUGAAGUUCUAGUUGCAGAAGGAGUGUGUAUUCGGUGAGCAAUUUCUCCUAGUUGGGGAAGAUCGAAUGGUUGGUCUGUGGGAUCCAUCGAGUGCCAUACCACUCAACGGGUCAGAGGGACACACAUGGAGUGUUGAGCUGGUAAGAAGGAACUAUCAAAAAAGCUAUUAUACUGGUAUUCGAUAAGAUAUACAGAAUCCGGAUUCUGGCAGGAUGUACGCGUCAAUUUGACGAUGCAAUACAGGUUUAUUCUUAAAAGAAGCACAGGAGAAAUCGUUUGGCAGCCUGGCCCAGACAGAACUUUCAAGACAUGGGAAAGCAAUAACAGUAUAGUGAUUGCUGAGGAUUGGGAAAAUGCUGGAGCUCAAAAAGUUAUCGAGGAGCAAGUUAUCAAUACUCCAGAUUUGGAGCCUGUUGUUGCUGUAAAUGUUUCCCAUAGAGGGGAGGAAGUUACACCUGAUUUCAACAGGGAUAUAAUGCUUUCAGGGCUGUUGAAUCCUAUAACAGAUUGUGCAGAACAAAACGUAAAGAAAGACAAGUUGUGUGGAAGAUUGAAUUU
Molecule: long non-coding RNA, 862 nt
Organism: Populus nigra (black poplar)
Lineage: Eukaryota; Viridiplantae; Streptophyta; Magnoliopsida; Malpighiales; Salicaceae
Exons: 3
Source: RefSeq, a predicted model, not a curated record